RNAcentral lists this unclassified non-coding RNA (240 nucleotides) under Hevea brasiliensis (rubber tree). Lineage: Eukaryota; Viridiplantae; Streptophyta; Magnoliopsida; Malpighiales; Euphorbiaceae. The record is from RNAcentral.
AAAAAAUCACUAAUGUGUAGACAUUUUUAGAACACAACUACAAGCAACAGUGAGAGAAUCGCUAUAUAAGAACUAAUGAACUUCCUGUAAGCAUUAUUGGGGAGCCUUGGGUAAUCAUCUGGUGGGGGCAUGACACAUUCAUCACCAUUAAAUGAAAUUUUUCUUGGGAAAGCCCAUCCUUCUCUGAAAGUGAAAAUCCCUGGAUCUUUGCGUAGUAACAUUUCAGUUUGUACAUUUCCA